UUCCUCCUCUUCCUCUUCCUCUUCCUCCUCCUCUUUCUUUUUUUCAAAAUCUUCCAAGGAGCUGUGGUUUUGUCUUCGGAGGAACAGUGGGAGCAGGCUGUGUGUGUGUGUGUGUUGUGUGUGUGUUGUGUGUGUGUCAUUGAAUGGUGUGAAAGGGACGGAGAAGGUCCCGGGCAAUCGAUUUCUUCCCUUGUCCCUUCUGUCUUUUCGGAUCAGCGCCUUUCAAUGGCGGGGAUCUAGGUGCUCUUUCAAGGGGACAAACUUGUGCGACGUUUCGGGCCUGUCUUCCCCCGAAGACAAUCAAUGCUGGGCAGAUUCCACACAUACACAAAGACACAAAGACACAAGCACACCCCUCCGACACCCUUCUUUCUCAGGCCAGAAAGUGCUCUAAUUAAAUUGUUGGAUGCGGCUGGUCAAGGGACGACAAUUCAGGGAUUGCAUUCGUGGAAAGAUAGACCUCCUUCCUUCUUUCUCUCUCUUUCUAUCUCUUCCUCUUUCAUCCCCCCUUCCCUUCUGCAGAGCAACAAAAAAGUGUCUCUUACAUAAUAAUGAUGAUGAUGAUGAUGAUAAUAAUAAUAAUAAUAAUAAUAAUAAUGGAUUUAAAUAUCCAGACCUGAGCAGAAAGAGACCCCUUAUUUCUUUUCCUUUAAAAGAAGACAUGAUAAAUACAGAUUUUCCACCUUCUAUUUUACCUGGAUUGAAAGAAACACAGAGAGAGAGAGCACUCACACGAUUAAAGAGCACAACAGACACGUGUUCAGGAAUGAAGCGUUCACACGACCUCACAAAGUCAGAUAGAAAGAGGAAUUAUUCCUAUGCAAAACAAAACCCAAAACCUCUUUUGAAGGAUGGGAAGGAUGGAAGAAUACUUAUUUUUGUUCUAGAUGAUCACCUUCUUUAUGUUUGAUCAGACACGCGUCUGUCAUUUUGGGAGAUCUAGUGCCUGGAUUUAUUGGAAAGACACACAACAAUAUUUUUGCAGUGUUUCUACUAAUGCAUCCAGACUGCCGAAAUAACCCGGUUUUAGACCCUUUCACUGAUGGUCCUAAACCCACUGCGGAAAUAAUUCAGUUUGAGACCGAUUGAACUGCCCUGGCUCAAUGCUAAGGGAUUCUGGGAACUGUAGUUCUGGGAGACAUUGAGCCUUCUUUCUGGGAUUGUUCUGGGGCCGCAAUAAACUACAAUUUCUGCAAUGGAGUGAGGCCGAUUUCGAUGUCUUUCUUUCCCCUCUUAAGGUUGCAUCCACACUGCAGAAAUAAUCCACUUGGAAACCUGCCAUGGUCCAGUGCUAUGGAAUUAUGGGAUCUGUAACUUCGUGAGACAUUUAGCCUUCUCUCUCAGAGAGCUUCGUUACCCCCAACAAACUCCACUUCCCAGGCCAGUUAAAGCGAUCCAAACCCGCAUUGUUUCUGUAGCACCAGAGAAGGCUAAAUGUCUCAGAAAGCUACACUUUCCAGAAUUCCCUAGCAUUCAGCAAGGGCAGUUAAAGCGGUCUCAAACCGGAUUAAUUCUGCAAUCUGGACGCAGUCCUGUGUGGCCCCGAUUCUGCCAGGAAUUUGAAGGCUGCAGACCCGUGUCUAGGAACAAGUCUUCACUUUCGUGUAAGGUUGCAAUAAGGUUGCAACAAGGUUGCAAACUCCCCUUUAGUAAGAGAGUUUGAACGCGUCUUAGCUUUGUCUGGGUCACAACUUUGCUUUCUCUUUCCUCACAGUUUCCCGUUUUGGUCCGCUUCACAUGACCUUUUUCCCGGGGACUUUUGCAGCAAGAGACACGAAGAAUGCCGCGAUCAUCGCACAAGGCUGAAAAUUAGUCAUUCUGGCUCUGAGCAGAGAGACCUUUGUGACCCUGACAAUUAUGCUGCGGAUUCUGUUGGAGGAAGGAAUUCCCAAAGAGACAGUUCUGAUGGAAAAGGCCAAGGGUCAGUACUACAGACAUUUUCUGAAGCAGGGGAAAAGAGAAGAGAAGAAAACCAAGGAAGAGAGACUGCCGACAUAGUCAUCUAGCCCAAAAGAUCUUCUGGAUUGGAUGGAAGCACAUCUCCCAUCAUUCCAUGGGGAAGGUGACUGGAAUCCUAUUGGUGUCAUAUAAAUGCUCAACUAUGGAAGGAGUUGGCUAUUUGCAUCCAGGUGAAAAUUGUGAAGCUUCAAUGAUAAUUCAAAAGGAAAGAAAAGAAAGAAAAACCUUGGAAAAUUAUCAGUGCGAAAUGAAAACUGUCUCUGCCAUCUUUGGUUUAAUUAACACAGUAAACUGCCAUUUUGGGACUUUCUCACAGAUUGCACACUCAGAAGAUUCGCCCGAUCUUUGUGGAUGAGCUAGGAUCAUCUCAGUUAGCCAGCGAAACAUAGACGAAGGUUGGACAACUUCCACAGAGCAAUCUUCUGGCAGAGUUGCUCUUCUGGCAAAGUUCAGCCAUUAGAAGAGGCCAAAAAGAGGACAGAGGAGAGGUGAGGCAAAGCAAGAGUCGAGUUACAUGAGAUUCAAGGCUCUUCCAGAUCAGAGGAACAAACACAGUGUUGCCACAAAGUGGAGUUCCUAGAUCUGCUACUGGACCCUUCUGGGAACUGAUAUCCAAAAUGUGAAGUUUUCCAAGCUCUGGAUCUGGUUCCUUCCUGAGAUACAGCACACAUGCUUUCACCAUGAGGACUUGGAUAUUGCUUUUAUGUUUGAAAGAAGCCAGAAGAUUCUGUGGCUGUAACCCCAGAUUUCUUGUGAAAAGGUUCUAAGUGCAAUGCCAGCAGCUCCAGAUAUAAUCAGCUGCAAAAUUUAGCUUUGUGGUUUCCUUGUUGAUCCACCAAAUCCUAGGGAAUCAUCUGCUAAAUCUCAGAAGCCCCAAACCUCCAAAUAACACCAAUGACCUUAGGAGAAACACACCAGGAAGACAUUUCACCAUUGGCUAGGACAGCAUAUUAAAAUACAAGGCACUGCUGUAGUAAAAACAGGGUACCUCAUUCCAGCUGUCUAUAUAUAUUCCUUUCCAGCACUAAAUCUGUCCAGGGACCUUUCAGAAAUACAACAUUAAGCCUCAUGCCUUCGCUUAGUGAAUAGAAAUGUGAAAAGGAUGGAGAUAAAAAUCAGAGGGACAUACAAUAGCGAAUGUUCUAUGAUUUAAUCACCAUUACAGCUUAAAACAGCACAGUCGACAUUCACCCUUGGUAAGUCAGGGAUAAAUCUCUGUCUAUGGCCGCCUUAAAGAGUGACGGCAUGGUAGCUCCAGGUCUUUUGACAAAACAGAUUGUCCUCCCCCUUUCCAUGUCCCAGAUAUGGUGCAAGGAAAUGAAGUUGAAGGGCACUGCCUGAAAAACGACCCUUUCCUAGCAUGGUGUGCAAGAAUAUGAAGUGUCAGUGGCAUGGUGAAUCCAUUCUGGGUUUCAGUUUGAACUUUAAAGGAGCUAGGUUCUUUGAAGCUUGGGGAAUCGCCAGCCUUCACUGAAUUUAUACAGGUUUGGUCCAAAAUAUUUUUUCUGCCUGAGGCAAUGGGAAAAAUGGUGCCAUGCACAAAGUGAUGCAUAUACAGGGUAUGCCUAUGGAUAAGGUCACCACACUUGUGACCCUGCUUCUGCAACCUUGGACUGUUAUGCAUGCUCAACUGCUUCCUUAGAGGAAUGUACUCAUGUAUAAGACACUGACAGGAUACCAGCCAUGGUGGUGCAUGUUACCCACAGCACAGUUUUGCUAGGUCACACAAUGGCUGCCAAAUGGUGAAUGGGUAUACUUAACCAGCCUAAAUGGGCAAAGAGGUGUUAUGAGAAAGCUCCCUCAGACCACCAGCUGAUUGACCAACUUUGCUUUCUCUUCCUGGCACCCAGAUCAUUAGGAUUGGUGGCACCUCAGUGUGGUAACUCAUGCUGCCAUCUCCUAGAUACCCUCCUCUGGCAGCCAAGCCACCUCUGCCAUGGUGGGGUGGGGUGAUGAUGCCAUGCAGAAGCCCCUUCUGGGUCUGUUGUGGCUGCUGGCAAAGUAGGAAGGGAAGUAGGUGGCAGAAGGCGCAGUCAUAUAUGUCUUGCCUUUUGAGGAAGAAGAGGAGUCCAUGGCCACUGCCACUGCCACCAUCAGCACCUCCUUUUCCUGCUCUGACCAGCAGCCCUGCCAAACACAGAAAAGGCAGCCAUGUUGCAGCAGCACACAUCCUCAUCCGCAAAUGCAGCUGAUGGAUGGCAGAGGUGCCCUGGCUGUCAGAAAAAGGUGGCCAGGGAGGUCUUGGCAUGGGCAGUGAGUGACCACCCCACUGUAUGUUCAUACCCUCUGAGAUGUCACCCAGUACAUUCUGCACCCCCUUCACCCUCCUAGUGAUGCCCCUUACAUCUGUGUAAGCACACUGGCAGAGCAAUAUACAUCUCUAGUUUCAAACAGGAUCCUGGAUUGUAUGUAUUUGUUUUUUAAAAACCCAGCCUGAAGAAAGCUUAUUGGCUAUGAACAUCUGAAACUGAGUGUUAAGGAGCAUCAGAGGUACAAUUCAUACCUCGGAGCACUUUUCCAUUAUCAAAUGGGUUUCCCGCCCCAGCAACUUGAAACACGCGCCUCCUUAGAGAAUUGCUCAAAGAUACAGCAUUAGAAAAAAGAAGAAGAAGAAAAGCUCAUAUUUCUAAUCUUCUUCAGAAUGGUUUUAUUUGGGGGCUGGAAAUGAAAAACAGCAGCUCCUACUAGAAAGGAGAUGGAGAGGGAAGCCAAAGAACCGUUGGCUGGAGAGCUGAGAAAGUGUGGCAGAAGUCAAACAAUCUUGUCUGAGAUGAAAGCAGCGACAGACAGAAGAAAUGUCAUUUCCUCCAGGGUAAGCUACACUACAAAUUCAGCGUUCAAAGUUCUCAUGUUUCAUCCUAACAAAUUCCAUUACAUUAGCAAGAUUAGAAAAAUCGCAUUUUGUUUCCUUGGGCUGUGAAAAUGUAAGCAAAGUAAACUCAUCAGGAAGAAAAGGACUGUUUAGUGUAGUGUGUGUGUGUGUGUGUCUUUGUGUGUGUCUGAGUGACUCUAGAGGGAAUGUGAUAUUUUCCUUCCCGAGAUUAGAAGGCUACAGAUACCUUGUGUAACAAAUAAAUGGAGGACAUGGGAAUGCAUGCACAAGCCAAAAUGUUUUUGAAGUCCUUGCUUUUUCAGGUCAUCAUUUGCAUUAACAACCGUGAAAUGGGAGGGCAUGAGCAGGAUUAUGAGCUUCUGUUGAAAGAUGAUUCUUCUGAACAAUUGGUGCUAUUUUUAUUUUAUUUUAUUUUUGGAAAUGCUGGAUGGCAAUUGUUUUCAGGAAAAAUGCAUGGAGGAAAAGUGAUCCCACCUGCUAAAAGCAUAUAUUUUUGGAACUAUUAACCCAUUAAAUGGCUCAGUCAAGAGAGAGCUGAACUGACGCUACUCGUAAUUUUGGGAUAAGUUGUUGAAGAAGAGUAGUUUUCAAUGAAGUAGCCACGUUAAUAUCUUGCAGCAUAAGAAAAAGGAGAUGGGAAGGGAAAAAAGGAAUAUAACAGCACCUUUAAGACAAACUAAUGUAGCAGCAUUUUAAGACUAAGCUUUCAUGAGUAUAAACCCACUUCUUCAGAUGCUUGUAGAGUGAUAAUAAAUGGUUAGGUGUAAUGCAUAUAUGUACAGUUGUGGGAGCGGGGUGGAAAGUCAUAGGAUUCAGAAAGGUCAAGGGAUAUGCAAACUAUGACUCUUGUCCUAAAUUUUCAAAGGGCUGGGCAAACUGAUAGGUCUUUCACAUCUUUACAAUGGCCACUUAGUGCUGAUGUAUGAAAGCAAUACAUCUGCUUUCCAAAAGUCAGUUCUUUGGGGGAGAAGAUGCCUUUUCUUACAGUAGAGAGGAAUCUUCUGUGAAUAUAUGUAGUAUGCAGUGAAGCCAUUGUCCUUGUUCAUAUCUCUGUUAAUAGACUGGAAUUUGCAAAUAUAAUUCAGUAAAUAUAAUUCUCUUUCUAGUCUUCCUUUGUAAUUUCCUUGUUCAAGGACUGCAACCUUUAAAUCCCAUACCCUACAUCCGUGAUGGUUGAAACGUUCUGCAACUGGUUUUUGGGUAUUGCCAUUUCUAAUGUCAGAUUUCUGUCCAUUGCAUUGAGACUAUCCUUUUUGUCCACAGUAGAGUGUAGAGGGGCUUUGCUGUCAUAGGAUGGUGUAUAUCACAUUGGAGGAAGGGUAACAACUAAGUAUACCAUAGAUGUGAGGACAGAGUUGGCAUCUGGAGUUUGUGGCAGGGUCUUGCUACAUGCUCAAGAGGUGCAACAUGAGAGCAUUGUCCUUCAGAGAAGAAUUUUGCCUCUAAAUAUUUAAAGUGGAAUAGAGAUUGUGUGUGUGUGUCUAUGUGUGUAUGUGCCUUCAAGUAGCCACUAAACGUAUGGAGACCCUGUGGAUUUCAUAGGGUUUUUAAAGGCAAGGAAUACUCAGAGGUUGCUUUGCCGGUUUCUUCCUUUACAAUUUAGCCUACAGCACCUGGUAAUUGUGUGAAAUUAGGGACAAAUCAGUCUAUUUCCUAUCUGCGUCAGUUUCACACAUGUUUGAUCAUAGGUCUGGUUCUUCCUGCUUUCUGUGAUUUACUUUGAAGCUGUAUAAUGUCCCCUUAGAAAUGCACAUUUUGGAGACACGUUCACCCCAAAGAAGAUUUUAAUUGUUAGGCAUGGUUACUAGAGGAUGAUCGUUCAGAGAAAGAGGUUUGAGGGCUUUCUAGGCAAAAUGUUAAAUAAUACUCAGAUACUGGUGUAAGGAAGAAUUGCAAAAGGGAUCCUGCUUCUGAUUGUCGGAGUGGAAAUUGGUGAUGGGAGGAGGGUAUAAAUGUCAGUAGUUUGCACCCUGAACAGACCGUCAUCACUUGCAGCAGGUGCUGUCUGGUCAAGUACCCUAUAUACUUGACUAUAAAUCGACCUCAUGUAUAAGUCGAGGGCAAGUUUUGGGGGCAGAAUUAAUGGAUUUCGAUAUGACCCAUGGAUAAGUCAAGGGUAAAA
Molecule: long non-coding RNA, 6914 nt
Organism: Sceloporus undulatus (fence lizard)
Lineage: Eukaryota; Metazoa; Chordata; Lepidosauria; Squamata; Phrynosomatidae
Exons: 9
Source: RefSeq, a predicted model, not a curated record